Non-coding RNA from Myodes glareolus (Bank vole), 586 nucleotides. NCBI's taxonomy places the organism in Eukaryota, Metazoa, Chordata, Mammalia, Rodentia, Cricetidae. The record is from the annotation of a RefSeq genome assembly.
CAGUGACAGAUAAGAAGUGACUGCCUCUCAAUAGGUUGUGUCGAUCCAGGAGAACUUUCAAGUGUCUCCACCAUGACCUGGACUCCAGUUUUCCCUGCUUUCAUUGCUCACUGCACAGGAUCUUGGGCUGAGGUUGUGUUCACCCAGCCCCAAUCUGUGUCCGGAUACUUGGGGCAGAGGAUCAGCAUUUCCUGCACCCACAGCACUGGAAACAUUGAAAGCAAUUAUGUAUACUGGUACCAGCAGCAUUCAGCAAGUGCACCCCAUCUGCUCAUCUACAAGUAUGAUCAAAGACCUUCUGUGGUUCCAGAUAGGUUCUCUGCAUCCAAGGACAGCUUCUCCAACUCUGGCACCUUAACUAUUUCCGGGUUGCAAGCUGAGGAUGAAGCUGACUACUACUGUCUGUCUGACUAUGACAAGUAUUUCACACAGAGCCUCAGACUCAUGAGGAACUGAGACAAAAACUCUCUAGAGCAUCACCACCCUGCCUUACAUUCAACUUUGGAAAAUCGAGCUUUUCUGUCUUAUUUUGUAAAUUUUUGUUAUAGUCUCUUUAUUUCCUAAAAUACAAUACAACUUAUUGUCU